Long non-coding RNA from Apodemus sylvaticus (European woodmouse), 1396 nucleotides. RefSeq lists it as uncharacterized. Lineage: Eukaryota; Metazoa; Chordata; Mammalia; Rodentia; Muridae. The record is from RefSeq and is a predicted model, not a curated record. The transcript has 2 exons.
UUUAGUGAAUGAGAGGAUCCGAGGAUGCACAGCAGCUGCCCAUCCCGGCCCCACCCCUCACCUCCCUGCACUGCCGCUCACACUAGAAUGUUAGUGGUGAUGGGCGUAGAAAAUCCUCAGUGAGCAGAGCACAUAGUUCCCUAGAACCAGGAGUGAUGCAAGCAUCUGACAGGACGAAAGCUUAGUUCUACGGCUCCUGGAGCUGCAGUGCCUUCCAUUUCCUCUGAGAGCUUUGUAGUUGUUCUGUGACCUGUCUGCCUUGGGCUCAUACCACUAAGAUAAGUUAUUUGGGCCUGGUUUUUGCAGUGUGGGAAAUCUGGGGAACAUAAUGAAAAUGUGUAACUAGUUUUUCCACACAUGCAGAACGGACUGUUUUUAUCUAUCCAUUGAAAAGUCUUCAGCUCAGCCUUUGCCUUUGGCAUGGUGACAUUUAAGAACAGUUACCAAAGAUCAGAGUUGCUAACUCAUUUGGAAGAUGUUUCUUUGGCAUGUGCAGAAGCCCUGGGUUAAAUCCUCAGGGGAAAAAGGAAAUCACGAAAAGCCAUGUCUGUAGUGAGCAGUGACAUAAAGCCACCUGCAGGGACCGUGUCACCCAAGCUCCUGCUUCUCACUGACGGUCUACCUCUGUAUCUAAUCUUCUCAGAGACACCAGAGUACUCUGAACUAGGAUCCAGAUACAUCUGGAGACAUACCACACUCUUAACAACUUGUACAAGAAUCUUCAGAUUAAAACCUGUCUACCCUGGGGUGGUGCUCUCACCCUGGGGUGGUGCUCUCACCCUGGGGUGGUGCUCUCACCCUGGGGUGGUACUCUCUGCAAUCUUCAAAGGACUUGAGGAUAAUAUUACAGACUAGUAGAUGUAUAUGUUCCAAAAAAGGACGCUGCUAUGGCAUGUUGGUAGCCUGUCUGGAGGUCGGGAAGCUCCUGGGAUAGUGUCCAGGGCCUAGAACAGGACCUAGUACUCAGCGGUGCUGGGUGUCCUCACUGACUCAGGUGUGGCUGUGACCAGCAGAGCGUGACUGCGGCUCUCCUACAAAGUGGAGAGUGGGAGCCUCCCCCGACCUUCAGACAAGGGCACACAGAUGCUUCCACUCACUGAGCGCUUGCCGUCCGCUCGGCUUCCCCCAUGCUGUGUGAGCCGACUACAAGCAACCCUCAUGGCAGCCUGGCAUGGAGGAUGGCCCUGCCUCCCUGAGGCCAGGGCUUCAGGAACACACUGAGGACGUGGCAGAGCCUAGACAGCUGUCUGCCCCACUGCCUGCUCUGUCGUCUCUCAGACUUGCAAGUUCACACAGUUCAUACCUUUAUGUGGUAACUUACCAAUCCAGAGGAUUCCAGGAGCCCUGGGAACGAUUGUUUGAAAUUCGUCUAAAUUCAUUAAAGCCAUUUAACUUA